Molecule: transfer RNA, 63 nt
Filed under: Haematopinus asini
Lineage: Eukaryota; Metazoa; Arthropoda; Insecta; Psocodea; Haematopinidae
Description: tRNA-Tyr
Source: RNAcentral
GGACUGGUGGCUGAAGAUAAGCGAAGUGUUGUAAGUACUUUAAUGAAUAAAUUUCCCAUUCCA